Molecule: ribosomal RNA, 536 nt
Filed under: Bifidobacterium longum subsp. infantis
Lineage: Bacteria; Bacillati; Actinomycetota; Actinomycetes; Bifidobacteriales; Bifidobacteriaceae
Also listed under: 1 other name
Description: bacterial SSU rRNA
Rfam family: Bacterial small subunit ribosomal RNA
Source: RNAcentral
CUCCUGGAAAAGGGUGGUAAUGCCGGAUGCUCCAGUUGAUCGCAUGGUCUUCUGGGAAAGCUUUCGCGGUAUGGGAUGGGGUCGCGUCCUAUCAGCUUGACGGCGGGGUAACGGCCCACCGUGGCUUCGACGGGUAGCCGGCCUGAGAGGGCGACCGGCCACAUUGGGACUGAGAUACGGCCCAGACUCCUACGGGAGGCAGCAGUGGGGAAUAUUGCACAAUGGGCGCAAGCCUGAUGCAGCGACGCCGCGUGAGGGAUGGAGGCCUUCGGGUUGUAAACCUCUUUUAUCGGGGAGCAAGCGAGAGUGAGUUUACCCGUUGAAUAAGCACCGGCUAACUACGUGCCAGCAGCCGCGGUAAUACGUAGGGUGCAAGCGUUAUCCGGAAUUAUUGGGCGUAAAGGGCUCGUAGGCGGUUCGUCGCGUCCGGUGUGAAAGUCCAUCGCUUAACGGUGGAUCCGCGCCGGGUACGGGCGGGCUUGAGUGCGGUAGGGGAGACUGGAAUUCCCGGUGUAACGGUGGAAUGUGUAGAUAUC